Molecule: transfer RNA, 74 nt
Filed under: Desulfosudis oleivorans Hxd3
Lineage: Bacteria; Pseudomonadati; Thermodesulfobacteriota; Desulfobacteria; Desulfobacterales; Desulfosudaceae
Description: Desulfococcus oleovorans Hxd3 tRNA
Rfam family: tRNA
About the family: Transfer RNA (tRNA) molecules are approximately 80 nucleotides in length. Their secondary structure includes four short double-helical elements and three loops (D, anti-codon, and T loops). Further hydrogen bonds mediate the characteristic L-shaped molecular structure. tRNAs have two regions of fundamental functional importance: the anti-codon, which is responsible for specific mRNA codon recognition, and the 3' end, to which the tRNAs corresponding amino acid is attached (by aminoacyl-tRNA synthetases). tRNAs cope with the degeneracy of the genetic code in two manners: having more than one tRNA (with a specific anti-codon) for a particular amino acid; and 'wobble' base-pairing, i.e. permitting non-standard base-pairing at the 3rd anti-codon position.
Source: Rfam by way of RNAcentral
CGGGGCGUAGCGCAGCCUGGUAGCGCACUUGCAUGGGGUGCAAGGGGCCGCAGGUUCAAAUCCUGCCGCCCCGA